Molecule: ribosomal RNA, 406 nt
Filed under: uncultured bacterium
Lineage: Bacteria
Description: partial 16S ribosomal RNA
Rfam family: Bacterial small subunit ribosomal RNA
Source: RNAcentral
AUUGAACGCUGGCGGCAGGCCUAACACAUGCAAGUCGAACGAGUGGCGGACGGGUGAGUAAUGUCUGGGAAACUGCCUGAUGGAGGGGGAUACCUACUGGAAACGGUAGCUAAUACCGCAUACCAUCAGAUGUGCCUCGAUGGGAUUAGCUUGUUGGUGGGGUAACGGCUCACCAAGGCGACGAUCCCUAGCUGGUCUGAGAGGAUGACCGGCCACACGGGAACUGGGACACGGUCCAGACGCCUACGGGAGGCAGCAGUGGGGAAUAUUGCACAAGGGGGGAAAGCCGGAGGCAGCCAUGCCGCGUGUAUGAAGAAGGCCUUCGGGUUGUAAAGUACUUUCAUCGGGGAGGCGUUAACCACAGAAGAAGCACCGGCUAACUCCGUGCCAGCAGCCGCGGUAAUUC